UCAAAAUGAGGAAACGAUGACGAGUCAGACGAGUUUCUCGAUGCUGCAUAAAUCUUUUUUUUUAUUCAUUCAUGCCAAAACUGAUU
Molecule: small nucleolar RNA, 86 nt
Filed under: Batrachochytrium dendrobatidis JAM81
Lineage: Eukaryota; Fungi; Chytridiomycota; Chytridiomycetes; Rhizophydiales
Source: RNAcentral